This is a long non-coding RNA of Cygnus atratus (black swan), 285 nucleotides long. RefSeq lists it as uncharacterized. The record is from RefSeq and is a predicted model, not a curated record. Lineage: Eukaryota; Metazoa; Chordata; Aves; Anseriformes; Anatidae. The transcript has 3 exons.
UUUUUUAAAGGUAUUAUUUUGAACUGAUGUUUUGCUAGUAAUUGAGGACUGGCCAGCUGUUUUCUACCUGGGAGACAUGAGAGUUAGUGUGAGUGCUGCAGGAACAAGGCAGAACUCAGAAAAAAGAGUGACCGGAGGGUAUGAAGAAGCUGUUACUUCACAUCUCCAGCCAUCAAAGAGGGAGAUAUGGUAACCACAGGAAAAUGGUCCUGGUGUUUCUAAGACACGAAAGACACCUUUGCAGAAGAUGCUGUUAAACGUAUACAGGGGAAGAAACAGCUACAU